This 468-nucleotide ribosomal RNA is filed under the name uncultured bacterium. RNAcentral describes it as "partial 16S ribosomal RNA". It matches the Rfam family "Bacterial small subunit ribosomal RNA", at positions 28 to 507 of the family's 1533-position model. The record is from RNAcentral.
GACGAACGCUGGCGGCGUGCUUAACACAUGCAAGUCGAACGGAAAGGCCCUGCUUUUGUGGGGUGCUCGAGUGGCGAUCGGGUGCGUAACACGUGAGUAACCUGCCCUUGACUUUGGUAUAACUUCAGGAAACUGGGGCUACUACCGUAUAGGAUCUCCUGCUGCAUGGUGGGCGUUGGAACGUUUCGGCGGUUGGGGAUGGACUCGCGGCUUAUCAGCUUGUUGGUGGGGUAGUGGCUUACCAAGGCUUUGACGGGUAGCCGGCCUGAGAGGGUGACCGGCCACAUUGGGACUGAGAUACGGCCCAGACUCCUACGGGAGGCAGCAGUGGGGAAUAUUGCACAAUGGGCGGAAGCCUGAUGCAGCAACGCCGCGUGCGGGAUGACGGCCUUCGGGUUGUAAACCGCUUUCGCCUGUGACGAAGCGUAAGUGACGGUAAUGGGUAAAGAAGCACCGGCUAACUACGUG